Molecule: ribosomal RNA, 1303 nt
Filed under: uncultured bacterium
Lineage: Bacteria
Description: partial 16S ribosomal RNA
Rfam family: Bacterial small subunit ribosomal RNA
Source: RNAcentral
AAUUUAAUCUUAACGGAGAAGAGGUGUUUGUCGCUCGCUCCCCCUGCCUUGCUUACGGGGAUAUCUUUUGCAAACUAGCGCUAAUACCGCAUAACGUAUAUUUGUGGGAUCGAAGAUAUACCAAAAGACCCACCCGCUGAGAGAUGGGCUCGCGUCCUAUUACAUAGUUGGUGAGGCAACCGCCCACCAACUCAACAAUCGGGAGCCGGACUGAGAGGUUGAACGGCCACAUUGGCACUGAAACACCGCCCAAACUCCUAGCGGAGGCAGCAGUGGGUAAUUUUGCACAAUGGACAAAUUCCUGACGCAUCAUCGCCGCGUGAGGAAUGACGGUUGUCCGAUUGUAAGCCUCUGUCUUUGCUGACUACCCCUGACGGUGUCCAAGGACGAAUCCACUGCUAUCUACUUGCCACCUGCCGCGGUACUACCUAGGUGGAAAACGUUAUCCGGAAUUCCUGGCAGUAAAGGGUGAGUGGGCGGCGCUGCAUAUCAGAUGUCAAAUCUAUGCGGCUUAUCUGAUAGCCUGCAUUUGAAACUGUCUCCUCUUGAUAGACGGAGAGGAUAAACGGAUUUCGCGGUGUAGCGGUGAAAUGCCUAUAUUUGCGGCAGAAACCCCAUUGGCGAAGGCGGUUUUACUGGACGUUCACUGUUGCUGAGACAUGUCAGCGUGGGGAGCAAACAGGAUUAGAUACCCUGGUAGUGCACGCCGUAAACGAUGAAUGUUAGGUGUAGGGGACAUAUGAGCUUCUGUGCUGCAGUUAACACAAUAAGCAUUCCACUUGGGGAGUACGGCCGCAAGGUUGAAAGUCAAAGGAAUUGACGGGAGCCCGCACAAGCAGUGGUGUAUGUGGUUUAAUUCGACGCAACGCGAAGAACCUUACCGGAUCUUGACAUCCCAGAUGAGGCCGAUGCAAUGUUGGCUGUACCCUUCGGGGAAUCUGGUGACAGGUGGUGCAUGGUUGUUGUCAGCUGUUGUCGUGAGAUGUUGGGUUAUGUUCCGCAACGAGCGCAACCCUUUUGUUUAGUUGGUAGGCAAGAGCAUUCUAGUCAGACUGCUGUUGACAAAAUGGAGGAAGGUGGGGAGGACGUCAAAUCAUCAUGCCCCUUACGCCCCGGGCUACACACGUACUACACUGGCGCAAACAAAGGGAAGCGAUACCGCGAGGUGGAGCAAACCCCAUAAAAGGCGUCCCUGUUCGGAUUGCAGGCUGCAACCCGCCUGCAGGAAGUUGGAAUUGCUAGUAAUCGCGGAUCAGCAUGCCGCGGUGAAUACGUUCCCGGGCUUUGCACUCACCGCCCGUCA